Molecule: long non-coding RNA, 1280 nt
Filed under: Sus scrofa (pig)
Lineage: Eukaryota; Metazoa; Chordata; Mammalia; Artiodactyla; Suidae
Description: lncRNA (ENSSSCG00070025608.1)
Source: RNAcentral
AUGCGUGCUGUCCUGACCUUGGGUAACUCAGCUGCCCCGUCUCCCAGGUGCCUCUUCUCUCAGGUCCCAGGUGCAAGUGCUACGUGGUCUUCGACAUGCAGCCCAGAUUCAGCAUCUCCACGCACACCCUCGGCGGCAUGGAUUUCUCAGAGCCCCGGACUCGCUCACCUUGGACUCGCACUGCACCGGCUGGCGGCUCUUCUCCCUCCCCCCCCCAAGAAUGGGAGGAGCUCCGAGGCAGGAGAGGACCCAGCCCGCCCACCUGGCUCUUAUCUCCAGUAUCCACUCCGAUUGUGGAUCUUUGACCUUCACCCUGGAUGUGUUUGUCUCUGGCUCCCUGGGACCUCUAGUCACGGUGCCUCCUCUUCUCUGAGCACAAUUCUUCUGGGACCUUCUUCUCCUCUUCUGUAGGCUCAGGGGUGAGUCUGGAAGAGAAGCUGGUAUACCCCGUUCCUGUCCUACAUACUCCUGUCUAUCUCAGGACAGCACCCCUGCUCCUCCAAGGUAUUGUUGUUUUUUUUUUUUUGUUUUUGUUUUUGUCUUUUGUACCUACGGCAUAUGGAAGUUCCCAGGCUAGGGUCGAAUCAGAUCUGUAGCGCUGGCCUACGCCACAGCCACAGCAACACCACAUCAGAGCUGCAUCUUCAACCUAUACCAUAGCUCACGGCAACGCCAGAUCCUUAACCCACUGAGCAAGGCCAGGGAUCGAACCUCUGUCCUCAUGGAUGCCAGUCAGAUACUUUUCGCUAAGCCACAAGGGGAACUCCGCUCUGUGAUAUUCUGGGUUGUGACACUUCUCCGGCCCCAAGGCCAUCCUUAGCCCAUAGUGGGUCUGUAGUCCUCUGAAGCAAAAGGGUGAGAAGCAAGGGGCUGUGUCCUUAUACCUUCAUGCUUCCCUGGGCGGGGGGUAUCUGUGGCCCCAGCACGGGUCCUCUUGAGGCCAUGGUGCCGUUUCCUUGUGUGUCACAAGGGGGCAGUCCCUUGUCCUGGUGUUUCAUUGUGAAAAGUGCCUGCUCAUUACUUUGGGUUAGAUAACUACUACAGUAACGCGGUACUUUUGUUUGGUGCUGUAGGGUUUUCACAGAAUUGUUAGGAUAUUGAACUCAUUUUAUGGGCCGAGUGGCCCUCCAAAAUAGCUGUUAUCAUCCCCAUCAUGGAAUCAAGGCACCGAGGCCCAGAAGACCCAGGCUCGCACAGCUGCUGAGGGGCAGGGUUAGACCAGGCUCCAGUUUUCCCUCUGCCUCACUUGCUGCUCCACCAACAGUAUCAUGCUGUGUGAU